ACUGAGUGGCGGACGGGUGAGUAACGCGUGGGUAACCUGCCUCAUACAGGGGGAUAACAGUUAGAAAUGACUGCUAAUACCGCAUAAGACCACGGUACCGCAUGGUACAGUGGUAAAAACUCCGGUGGUAUGAGAUGGACCCGCGUCUGAUUAGGUAGUUGGUGGGGUAACGGCCUACCAAGCCGACGGUCAGUAGCCGACCUGAGAGGGUGACCGGCCACAUUGGGACUGAGACACGGCCCAG
This 244-nucleotide ribosomal RNA is filed under the name uncultured bacterium. Its description in RNAcentral is "partial 16S ribosomal RNA". It matches the Rfam family "Bacterial small subunit ribosomal RNA", at positions 90 to 334 of the family's 1533-position model. The record is from RNAcentral.